UUUUAAUGUACUGCAAUUGCUAUUAUAUUUAAGGCAUGGUUAUAUGCUUGUACAAAUUAUUUCUGUGAAGACUUUCAAGAUGUUCAAGGCGUAUUUGUUUGCAAUUGCUUUCAUAACUAUACAGGUUACAAUGACGUUGGCACAAAGGGGGCCCAGCUAUCCACUGAACCUGCCAGAACACUGCGAAAAUACAUUUUGCUUUUUACCUGCUUGUGAUGUUGAAAGAUGUACCAGAAAACCGUGGGCCCGAUGCAGAGGAUUUUGCAACGACUGCGUCGCUCGAUUCUAUAUAGGCUUCCGACAUAUGACACCAGAAUGUAAAUAACAAUUAAACAAUCAACAACUUUGAUUAAAAAAGGAGCACUUUAAAUUUAAUCAGACGCAUAAAAUCUUCCUUUCCACUUGAUCUAUUGUUGCUCGUUUCAAACAACAUCUUAGCCUGGAACGUUUUUGUAACGCAUCUGAAGUUA
Magallana angulata is the source of this 470-nucleotide long non-coding RNA. RefSeq lists it as uncharacterized. The transcript has 4 exons. Lineage: Eukaryota; Metazoa; Mollusca; Bivalvia; Ostreida; Ostreidae. The record is from RefSeq and is a predicted model, not a curated record.